UCGAGCGUCAUUACACCACUCAAGCCUCGCUUGGUAUUGGGCGACGCGGUCCGCCGCGCGCCUCAAAUCUUCCGGCUGGGUUCGAUUGUCCCUUAGCGUUGUGGAAACUAUUCGCUGAAGGUGUACUUUUGGGCAACGCCGUUAAACAAACCCAUUCAAAGGUUGACCUCGGAUCAGGUAGGGAUACCCGCUGAACUUAA
This 200-nucleotide unclassified non-coding RNA is filed under the name soil metagenome. RNAcentral describes it as "partial contains internal transcribed spacer 2 and large subunit ribosomal RNA". The record is from RNAcentral.